Molecule: long non-coding RNA, 200 nt
Filed under: Brassica napus (rape)
Lineage: Eukaryota; Viridiplantae; Streptophyta; Magnoliopsida; Brassicales; Brassicaceae
Description: long non-coding RNA (BNAP_LNC025870)
Source: RNAcentral
ACGUGACAACACAUCAUGGCAUUUUUUUAAUUAGUACAAAUUACAGGUUAUAACUUUUUUAAUGUUUCUCUAUUAAUAUAUAGAGGAUAUGAGUGAAGCUGUUAUUAAUUGUAAACAUUGGAUUAUUAGGUCAAAAAUUGAAAGGAAAUAUUACAAAAGAAAAAAAUAUAAGAAAAUGUAAUUUCAUACUCAAAAUCAAU